AUGGCUGCGGAGGUGGAGAUGGGUGGAGGCGAGGCGCUGCUGGAGGAGGGCACCGGCGGCACUGGCGCAAGGCGGGGCGGCAGGAAGCCGCUGGGGUGGAGGUGCAUGCCCUUCAUCAUAGCAACCGAGACAUUUGAGAAGGUGGGGUCAGUUGGGGUGGCAGCAAAUCUCACGGUCUAUCUUGUCAACCGCUACAACAUUGGGAAGCUCGCGGCAGCAAACAUCACCAACAUUUUCUACGGUACGCUCAACUUUGCGCCGUUACUAGGCGCCUUCAUCUCCGACGCCUACUUGGGAAGGUUCAGAACCCUGGCCUACGGAUCCUUCUUUAGCCUCCUGGGGAUGCUGGGAUUGACUUUGUCUGCAUCAGUUCCAGCUCUCAAACCACCAGGCUGCAGUCAGACAGCCCAAUUGGGUGGUCACUGCAACAGUCCAUCAACACUCCAGCUGAGCGUGCUAUACAUAUCUCUAGCGUUUCUAACCAUCGGCGGUGGAGCAAUCCGACCAUGCAGCUUGCCCUUUGGAGUAGACCAAUUCGAUAUGACUGAUGAAAAAAGCCGAAAGGGACUGAAUAGCUAUUAUAACUGGUAUUAUGGCACAACUACUGCUGCCCUGGUGUUCUCCAUGACUAUUCUCAUCUACAUCCAGAAUAGCAUCAGCUGGCCAAUAGGAUUUGGCAUUCCCACAUUCUUCAUGCUUAUGUCAAUCAUCAUUUUAUUCAUGGGCACUAGACUUUAUGUCCAUGUACCACCAGAAGGAAGCAUCUUCACUGGAAUUGCCCAAGUUUUAGUGGCAUCAUUUAAAAAGAGAAGACUCAAGCUUCCGCAUCCUGACAAUAUAAAUCAACAAGAGUUGCUGCUCUUCAGUCCUCCAAUAGGUGGCCACCGUAUUUUCAGAUUGCCACUUACUUCCCAGUUCAGGUGUCUGAACAAAGGUGCGAUUGUAAGGGAUGGUGAUAUAAAUGAUGACGGUUCUGCAAGAAACUCAUGGGAGCUUUGCAGUAUCCAGCAGAUAGAAGAGGUCAAAUGUUUGUUAAGAAUUGUGCCUAUCUGUAUAUCUGGCAUCAUAUGCUUCGUCGCGUUGGCUCAACAAUUCACAUAUAUAAUCUUGCAAACAUUAACAAUGGACUGUCACCUUGGAACACAUUUUGAAAUCCCUGCAGGCUCUGUCAUAUCCAUAUCCUUAAUCGCCCUAACUGCAUUCCUGCCGAUUUAUGACCGAAUAUUGGUACCUAUAGCUAGAAGAUUCACCAGAGUGGAAAGUGGAAUUACACUUCUUCAGAGACAGGGUAUAGGAUUGGUGAUUUCUCCCAUUUCAAUGGUGGUAGCAGGGCUUGUUGAACACAAAAGGAGAAACUCAGCAUUGUCUAAUGGAGGAAAAUCACCUAUGUCAGUCUUGUGGCUUGCCCCCCAAUUGAUUUUAAUGGGUAUUGCUGAGGCCUUCAAUGCAGUUGGACAAAUAGAAUUCUAUAAUAAGCAGUUUCCAGAGCAGAUGCUAACCCUAGCAGGAUCCCUCUUUUUCGUUACGUUAGCUGGAGCAAACUACUUGAGUACUGCUCUGGCAAACAUUACAAGGAAAGUGACUACCAGAGAUGGCCACACAAGCUGGUUGACAGAUGACAUUAAUCUUGGCAAGCUUGAUUAUUACUUCUAUUUCAUUGCCCUCAUAGGAGUACUGAACUUUUUCUACUUCCUUAUAUGCUCACACUACUAUCAAUAUAAAUCCAUGUCACUCCAUGCUGAAGAGUCCAUCAAAGUACACACCAAGGAAGAGGCAGAAGCAGAGGUCGACGCGAAUACAGAUGCACCUAAAAAAUAA
RNAcentral lists this ribosomal RNA (1818 nucleotides) under Triticum aestivum (bread wheat). RNAcentral's name for it is "partial small subunit ribosomal RNA". Lineage: Eukaryota; Viridiplantae; Streptophyta; Magnoliopsida; Poales; Poaceae. The record is from RNAcentral.